AAAACAGAUCUACUGUUCAUUCAUCUUUUGGCAGCUUUCAGGAUCUUAGGACGUGCAAAAUGGCUGCCAGAUGUGACUAGAUAGCGAUUCCGGCACUUGAAAGUGCCAUCGAUGACGGGGACCGGCCACACAAAUGUAGUGGCUACAACAGGACGGCAAAGCCUGGACGUUCUGUGGUGAAUGGUGCGUGGCAAGGAAUAUUUGUGCCACCAAAGUGUCAGGCCACCUACAACAUAAAGAGGAUGUCACCACCUGCUCUUGAUGCUCAAUGGGGUUGCUAUUUGCUGAGUCCUCAUGGAUCCUUGGCUUUAAUGGCAGCUCUGCUCCCCAUAUGUCACAUAUGGUACUCAUGGUUUAAUCGGCUCUCUUCUCAAAGGCUUUAUCCCCUCUCGAUUGGGAACCGAGACGAACGGUAUUUUCUUCCAAUGAUCCAUUGUGACGGCCAAAGCCAUCAUCGUUGUUCUCUAUCAUAAAUGUGCAGA
This is a long non-coding RNA of Mobula hypostoma (lesser devil ray), 482 nucleotides long. RefSeq lists it as uncharacterized. Lineage: Eukaryota; Metazoa; Chordata; Chondrichthyes; Myliobatiformes; Myliobatidae. The record is from RefSeq and is a predicted model, not a curated record. The transcript is spliced from 3 exons.